Molecule: ribosomal RNA, 380 nt
Filed under: uncultured eukaryote
Lineage: Eukaryota
Description: partial 18S ribosomal RNA
Rfam family: Eukaryotic small subunit ribosomal RNA
Source: RNAcentral
CAAUAGCGUAUAUUAAAGUUGUUGCGGUUAAAAAGUUCGUAGUUGGAUUUCUGCCAAGGACGACCGGUCCGCCCUCUGGGUGAGUAUCUGGCUUGGCCUGGGCAUCUUCUUGGAGAACGUUGCUGCACUUCGCUGUGUGGCGCGGUAUCCAGGACCUUUACUUUGAGGAAAUUAGAGUGUUUCAAGCAGGCUUUCGCCUUGAAUACAUUAGCAUGGAAUAAUAAGAUAGGACCUCGGUUCUAUUUUGUUGGUUUCUAGAGCUGAGGUAAUGAUUAAUAGGGAUAGUUGGGGGCAUUCGUAUUUAACUGUCAGAGGUGAAAUUCUUGGAUUUGUUAAAGACGGACAACUGCGAAAGCGUUUGCCCAGGAUGUUUUCAUUGA